This 74-nucleotide transfer RNA is filed under the name Volvariella volvacea V23. RNAcentral describes it as "tRNA-Asn (GTT) (tRNA-Asn-GTT-2-1)". It matches the Rfam family "tRNA". From Rfam's summary of the family: Transfer RNA (tRNA) molecules are approximately 80 nucleotides in length. Their secondary structure includes four short double-helical elements and three loops (D, anti-codon, and T loops). Further hydrogen bonds mediate the characteristic L-shaped molecular structure. tRNAs have two regions of fundamental functional importance: the anti-codon, which is responsible for specific mRNA codon recognition, and the 3' end, to which the tRNAs corresponding amino acid is attached (by aminoacyl-tRNA synthetases). tRNAs cope with the degeneracy of the genetic code in two manners: having more than one tRNA (with a specific anti-codon) for a particular amino acid; and 'wobble' base-pairing, i.e. permitting non-standard base-pairing at the 3rd anti-codon position. Lineage: Eukaryota; Fungi; Basidiomycota; Agaricomycetes; Agaricales; Pluteaceae. The record is from RNAcentral.
UGUCCCAUGGCCCAGUCGGUUAAGGCGUCUGACUGUUAAUCAGAAGAUCGGGAGUUCGAGUCUCCCUGGGACAG